This 72-nucleotide transfer RNA is filed under the name Candidatus Nanoarchaeia archaeon. RNAcentral's name for it is "tRNA-Gln". It matches the Rfam family "tRNA". Rfam says of the family: Transfer RNA (tRNA) molecules are approximately 80 nucleotides in length. Their secondary structure includes four short double-helical elements and three loops (D, anti-codon, and T loops). The record is from RNAcentral. RNAcentral also lists the same sequence under 1 other name. Lineage: Archaea; Nanobdellati; Nanobdellota; Candidatus Nanoarchaeia.
AGCCCCGUGGUCUAGUGGUAAGGAUGCCGGGCUCUGGACCCGGAGACCCUGGUUCGAAUCCAGGCGGGGCUA